Molecule: long non-coding RNA, 542 nt
Organism: Hippocampus zosterae (dwarf seahorse)
Lineage: Eukaryota; Metazoa; Chordata; Actinopteri; Syngnathiformes; Syngnathidae
Exons: 3
Source: RefSeq, a predicted model, not a curated record
CACAUCAGUUUGAGCUUUGAAGUAACAUCAUUUGACAUCACCACUAUUGCUGACCUCGUUGACGUCUAUGAUGCAAUGAGAGUUUGUGUUCGCGACUGCGCCAAGGCCAGAUGUGCGCGAGUUGAUGCGUUUAGGGCACCCUACUCCAUUUGAGCACGCUCUACAAGAAUGUUACAUCUCCUAAUCCUCACACUUGUGCUCAGUAGAAGUAUGUCAGCUUCUAUAUCGAAAAGAACUGACAUCCAUAUGGAAAAAAUUGAGUUCCAUUACUCCAGCAACCUUCAUCCAUACGUCAGAUACACUGACGAUUACGGCGAGAAGCCUCUGCCUGACUCACAAGAUGUAGAAAAUGCCAAUGACCUCAAUCUGGAGAAUGCAUAUUAUUGAGAGAAACUCAUUAAUGAGUUUUUCCUUGCCUGGUUGGGGGUUUUAGAACAGGGGAUGUCACUGAUCUUUGUCAACCGGGGGCCUGUGAAACCCCUUGAGACUAAGUUUUGGUAAAAGACUGCACAAAUAAACAUGACACGCUCCUUGGAUCGAAA